AGGGAGAUGAAGUAACGUGGACAUGUCAGAGCCAAGAUUCAAACUCAGGUUUUCUUCUUUCUAGUUUGGAUAUCAUGAUUCCCUCUCCCAACAUAAAUGCUUAUUGGAUUAUUUAUGAGUAUGCUCAUGCGAAUGGAGUGGUGAAUGGAAUUGAAGAUGGAUUAAUUAUUAAAGGUGGUGAAUUUGGAGGGAAAUCAUAGCACUUAGAAUCCUUCAGCAGCAUCAGAACAACUGAGCUUAAGCCCUACUUGGUAAGUAUAAUUACUUUAAAGAGGAAGCAACUAGAUGACAGGCUAGAGUGAACUCCCCUCCCUCACCUUUAUUCUGCACUGUGCUGAGACUAGGUUUAGCUGAUAUUUACUUGUUUUCUCUAGUUCUUCCAAAGUAGAAUGUAAGGUCUUCGGAAGCAGAAACUUUUUUUCAUUUUUGUUUGUCUCUUUGUUCCCAGAGCCUAAACCAAUGCCUUGUACAUAGUAGGCACUUAACAAUCGAAAUGUGAAUUUUUUGCACUUGCCCCAUGCAUAAAAUAUUUUAUUCAUGAUUCUGGGUUGGACAAAGCCAUCUGGAAUGAAUUAGAUUCAGGUGGACACAGCUAAAGCCCAGCCUUUACUUGUCUAGUAAUGUGUGUACACUGAGACCUGCUUUUAGUUAUAAACACAUUAUUAUAAUGAGAAAGUUGCAUAGGAAUAGGGUGAUUGGGACUGGCUUUCUCCACAUGUCCCCCUAUUUCCUAUAAACAUAUGAGGCCACCCAGGGUUAUACUGGGUUCCUAUGCUCAGCCCCCUACCUAGAACUAUCAUGAGAAGACAAAGCACAAUUUCAGACUGGAGCCAAGACAGUUAGCUAAUGAGGAAUAUGUGGUCCUAUAAGUAAAAAAAAAGAAAAAAAAGAGAAAAAAAGAGAAAAAAGUAUGCCUUGGCUUUUUAUUUCAUGGAUAGCGUCUUAAAUAAAGGUCGUAUUAUGAUGGAACUUCUAGCA
This 978-nucleotide long non-coding RNA is filed under the name Monodelphis domestica (gray short-tailed opossum). RNAcentral's name for it is "lncRNA (ENSMODG00000036497.1)". The record is from RNAcentral. Lineage: Eukaryota; Metazoa; Chordata; Mammalia; Didelphimorphia; Didelphidae.